UACGAGGGGGGCAAGCGUUGUUCGGAUUUAUUGGGCGUAAAGGGUGCGUAGGCGGUUUGGCAAGUCUUAUGUGAAAUCUUCGGGCUCAACCCGAAGCCUGCAUAAGAAACUGCUGUGCUUGAGUGUGGGAGAGGCGCGUGGAAUUGCAGGUGUAGCGGUGAAAUGCGUAGAUAUCUGCAGGAACACCCGUGGCGAAAGCGGCGCGCUGGACCACUACUGACGCUGAGGAACGAAAGCUAGGGGAGCAAACAG
Molecule: ribosomal RNA, 252 nt
Filed under: uncultured bacterium
Lineage: Bacteria
Description: partial 16S ribosomal RNA
Rfam family: Bacterial small subunit ribosomal RNA
Source: RNAcentral